Molecule: ribosomal RNA, 256 nt
Filed under: uncultured bacterium
Lineage: Bacteria
Description: partial 16S ribosomal RNA
Rfam family: Bacterial small subunit ribosomal RNA
Source: RNAcentral
UACGAAGGGGGCUAGCGUUGUUCGGAAUUACUGGGCGUAAAGAGCGCGCAGGCGGUCGUUCAAGUCGAGUGUGAAAGCCCCCCGGCUCAACUGGGGAGGGUCAUUCGAUACUGAUCGGACUCGAAGGCAGGAGAGGGAAGCGGAAUUCCCGGUGUAGUGGUGAAAUGCGUAGAUAUCGGGAGGAACACCAGUGGCGAAGGCGGCUUCCUGGCCUGUUCUUGACGCUGGAGGCGCGAAAGCUAGGGGAGCAAACGGG